GCGGGUGUGGUGUAUGGUACACGGCUGUCCUCUUUAGGUGCUAAAAAUGGUUGCAGGCAGCAGAACCGGGUUCGAUUCCUGGCAUCCGCA
This is a non-coding RNA of Mycena metata, 90 nucleotides long. NCBI's taxonomy places the organism in Eukaryota, Fungi, Basidiomycota, Agaricomycetes, Agaricales, Mycenaceae. The record is from the annotation of a GenBank genome assembly.